GACGAACGCUGGCGGCGUGCUUAACACAUGCAAGUCGAACGGAAAGGCCCUGCUUUUGUGGGGUGCUCGAGUGGCGAACGGGUGAGUAACACGUGAGUAACCUGCCCUUGACUUUGGGAUAACUUCAGGAAACUGGGGCUAAUACCGGAUAGGAGCUCCGGCUGCAUGGUGGGGGUUGGAAAGUUUCGGCGGUUGGGGAUGGACUCGCGGCUUAUCAGCUUGUUGGUGGGGUAGUGGCUUACCAAGGCUUUGACGGGUAGCCGGCCUGAGAGGGUGACCGGCCACAUUGGGACUGAGAUACGGCCCAGACUCCUACGGGAGGCAGCAGUGGGGAAUAUUGCACAAUGGGCGGAAGCCUAAUGCAGCAACGCCGCGUGCGGGAUGACGGCCUUCGGGUUGUAAACCGCUUUCGCCUGUGACGAAGCGUGAGUGACGGUAAUGGGUAAAGAAGCACCGGCUAACUACGUG
Molecule: ribosomal RNA, 468 nt
Filed under: uncultured bacterium
Lineage: Bacteria
Description: partial 16S ribosomal RNA
Rfam family: Bacterial small subunit ribosomal RNA
Source: RNAcentral